This is a long non-coding RNA of Ctenocephalides felis (cat flea), 324 nucleotides long. RefSeq lists it as uncharacterized. The transcript is spliced from 3 exons. The record is from RefSeq and is a predicted model, not a curated record. NCBI's taxonomy places the organism in Eukaryota, Metazoa, Arthropoda, Insecta, Siphonaptera, Pulicidae.
AACGGCCCGACAGAGGGCCAAGCAGCUCCUGAAAUCCAAAGAGAACUUGAUCAGUAAUUUUGUUAUUGAGGAUACCAUAAAAUCUAAAGACGUGUGCGGUUCCGAACAUCUGCCAGAAGUCGAGAUCUUCAGUCUCCUCGAAGAACAGAUCCCGAGAUACAAAUUGAGAUCGGACGCUCUCACCGAAUUCGCCGGAUACGAAAAUCAGGACUGGUUCAUACCCAGUCCAGCGCUUCCACCUAGUGACGCUCACGAGAAACUAUCGCCUGAUCAGAUCAGGGAGACCCUGAAUUAUUUCGGUGAGUCUUUUUUUUUAAUUACAAA